UACGAAGGGAGCUAGCGUUGUUCGGAAUCACUGGGCGUAAAGCGCACGUAGGCGGAUUUGUUAGUCAGGGGUGAAAUCCCGGGGCUCAACCUCGGAACUGCCUUUGAUACUGCAAGUCUCGAGUCCGAUAGAGGUGGGUGGAAUUCCUAGUGUAGAGGUGAAAUUCGUAGAUAUUAGGAAGAACACCGGUGGCGAAGGCGGCCCACUGGAUCGGUACUGACGCUGAGGUGCGAAAGCGUGGGGAGCAAACAGG
RNAcentral lists this ribosomal RNA (253 nucleotides) under uncultured bacterium. Its description in RNAcentral is "partial 16S ribosomal RNA". It matches the Rfam family "Bacterial small subunit ribosomal RNA", at positions 524 to 776 of the family's 1533-position model. The record is from RNAcentral.